GGGCGAUUAGCUCAGUCGGUAGAGCACCUGACUUUUAAUCAGGUUGUCGGGGGUUCGAAUCCCCCAUCGCUCA
RNAcentral lists this transfer RNA (73 nucleotides) under Lachnospiraceae bacterium. Its description in RNAcentral is "tRNA-Lys". It matches the Rfam family "tRNA". From Rfam's summary of the family: Transfer RNA (tRNA) molecules are approximately 80 nucleotides in length. Their secondary structure includes four short double-helical elements and three loops (D, anti-codon, and T loops). RNAcentral also lists the same sequence under 1 other name. Lineage: Bacteria; Bacillati; Bacillota; Clostridia; Lachnospirales; Lachnospiraceae. The record is from RNAcentral.